AACGAACGCUGGCGGCGUGCUUAACACAUGCAAGUCGAACGAGAAAGCCCUUCGGGGUGAGUAGAGUGGCGCACGGGUGAGUAAUGCAUGGGAACAUACCUUCAGGAGGGGGAUAACAGUUGGAAACGACUGCUAAUACCGCAUAGUCUCUUCGGAGUAAACGAGGCCUAUACUUGUAAGCUACGGCCUGAAGAUUGGCCCAUGUCGCAUUAGCUUGUUGGUGAGGUAAAGGCUCACCAAGGCGACGAUGCGUAGCUGGUCUGAGAGGAUGAUCAGCCACACUGGAACUGAGACACGGUCCAGACUCCUACGGGAGGCAGCAGUGGGGAAUAUUGCACAAUGGGCGCAAGCCUGAUGCAGCAACGCCGCGUGGGUGAAGAAGGCUCUUUGGGUCGUAAAAGCCCUUUCGGCAGAGAAGAAGGGUGUUUCGAAUAGGGC
This 438-nucleotide ribosomal RNA is filed under the name uncultured bacterium. RNAcentral describes it as "bacterial SSU rRNA". It matches the Rfam family "Bacterial small subunit ribosomal RNA", at positions 29 to 466 of the family's 1533-position model. The record is from RNAcentral.